GAUGAACGCUAGCGGCAGGCCUAACACAUGCAAGUCGAGGGGUAACAGAAGAGAGCUUGCUUUUUUGCUGACGACCGGCGCACGGGUGCGUAACGCGUAUGCAACUUACCCUUUACUGGAGGAUAGCCCGGAGAAAUUCGGAUUAACACUCCAUAGUAUUUUAUUAUUGCAUGAUAAUACUAUUAAAGUUUACGGUAAAGGAUGGGCAUGCGUCCUAUUAGCUAGAUGGUAAGGUAACGGCUUACCAUGGCUACGAUAGGUAGGGGGCCUGAGAGGGUGAUCCCCCACACUGGUACUGAGACACGGACCAGACUCCUACGGGAGGCAGCAGUGAGGAAUAUUGGGCAAUGGAGGGAACUCUGACCCAGCCAUGCCGCGUGCAGGAAGACGGUCCUACGGAUUGUAAACUGCUUUUAUUUGUGAAUAAACCUUUCUACGUGUAGAGAGCUGAAUGUAGCAAAUGAAUAAGCACCGGCUAACUCCG
Molecule: ribosomal RNA, 484 nt
Filed under: uncultured Fluviicola sp.
Lineage: Bacteria; Pseudomonadati; Bacteroidota; Flavobacteriia; Flavobacteriales; Crocinitomicaceae
Description: bacterial SSU rRNA
Rfam family: Bacterial small subunit ribosomal RNA
Source: RNAcentral